This 474-nucleotide ribosomal RNA is filed under the name uncultured organism. RNAcentral's name for it is "partial 16S ribosomal RNA". It matches the Rfam family "Bacterial small subunit ribosomal RNA", at positions 330 to 796 of the family's 1533-position model. The record is from RNAcentral.
CGUACACUCCUACGGGAGGCAGCAGUGGGGAAUUUUGGACAAUGGGCGAAAGCCUGAUCCAGCCAUGCCGCGUGCAGGAUGAAGGCCUUCGGGUUGUAAACUGCUUUUGUACGGAACGAAACGGCCUUUUCUAAUAAAGAGGGCUAAUGACGGUACCGUAAGAAUAAGCACCGGCUAACUACGUGCCAGCAGCCGCGGUAAUACGUAGGGUGCAAGCGUUAAUCGGAAUUACUGGGCGUAAAGCGUGCGCAGGCGGUUAUGUAAGACAGUUGUGAAAUCCCCGGGCUCAACCUGGGAACUGCAUCUGUGACUGCAUAGCUAGAGUACGGUAGAGGGGGAUGGAAUUCCGCGUGUAGCAGUGAAAUGCGUAGAUAUGCGGAGGAACACCGAUGGCGAAGGCAAUCCCCUGGACCUGUACUGACGCUCAUGCACGAAAGCGUGGGGAGCAAACAGGAUUAGAUACCCUAGUAGUCC